RNAcentral lists this ribosomal RNA (497 nucleotides) under uncultured bacterium. RNAcentral describes it as "partial 16S ribosomal RNA". It matches the Rfam family "Bacterial small subunit ribosomal RNA", at positions 28 to 507 of the family's 1533-position model. The record is from RNAcentral.
GACGAACGCUGGCGGCGUGCCUAAUACAUGCAAGUAGAACGCUGAAGAGAGGAGCUUGCUCUUCUUGGAUGAGUUGCGAACGGGUGAGUAACGCGUAGGUAACCUGCCUUGUAGCGGGGGAUAACUAUUGGAAACGAUAGCUAAUACCGCAUAACAAUGGAUGACACAUGUCAUUUAUUUGGAAGGGGCAAUUGCUCCACUACAAGAUGGACCUGCGUUGUAUUAGCUAGUAGGUGAGGUAAUGGCUCACCUAGGCGACGAUACAUAGCCGACCUGAGAGGGGGAACGGGCACACUGGGAAUGAGACACGGCCCAGACUUCUAAGGGAGGCAGCAGUAGGGAAUCUUCGGCAAAGGGGGCAACCCUGAACGAGCAAAGCCGCGGGAGGGAAGAAGGGUUUCGGAUCGUAAAGCUCUGUUGUAAGUCAAGAACGGGUGUGAGAGUGGAAAGUUCACACUGUGACGGUAGCUUACCAGAAAGGGACGGCUAACUACGUG